RNAcentral lists this transfer RNA (66 nucleotides) under Marmota marmota marmota (Alpine marmot). It matches the Rfam family "tRNA". Rfam says of the family: Transfer RNA (tRNA) molecules are approximately 80 nucleotides in length. Their secondary structure includes four short double-helical elements and three loops (D, anti-codon, and T loops). Lineage: Eukaryota; Metazoa; Chordata; Mammalia; Rodentia; Sciuridae. RNAcentral also lists the same sequence under 1 other name. The record is from Rfam by way of RNAcentral.
GGUUGUGGCUCAGUGGUAGAGCGCUUGCCUAGCAUGCAUGAGGCACUGGGUUCAAUCCCUGUACCA